This 680-nucleotide ribosomal RNA is filed under the name uncultured archaeon. Its description in RNAcentral is "bacterial SSU rRNA". It matches the Rfam family "Archaeal small subunit ribosomal RNA", at positions 162 to 846 of the family's 1478-position model. The record is from RNAcentral.
AAUAGAUACUGGAAGGUUCUAUUUUCAAAAGUUCCGAUGCCUGAGGAUAGGACUGCGGUGGAUUAGGCUGUUGUGGGUAUAAAGGACCCACAAACCUAUAAUCCAUGCGGGCGUUGAGAGACGGAGCCCGGAGAUGCGUUCUGAGACAAGAAUGCAGGUCCUACGGGACGCAGCAGUCGCGAAAACUUUACAAUACCUGAAAGGGUGAUAAGGGAAUCCUGAGUGCUCCAGCAUUGCUGGAGCUUUUCUAGAGUGUAAAAAGCUUUGGGAAUAAGUGGUGGGUAAGACGGGUGCCAGCCGCCGCGGUAAUACCCGCGCCACGAGUGGUAAUCACGGUUAUUGGGUCUAGAGCGUUCGUAGCCGGCUUAGAAAAUUCUUGGUGAAAUUUCACGUAAAACAUGGAAAGUGCCAGGAACACUUCUGGGCUAGGAACCGGGAAAGGCUAGGGGUACUCCGAGGGUAAGGGUUAAAUCUUGUAAUCCUUGGAGGACCACCUGUGGCGAAGGCGCCUAGCUGGAACGGCUUCGACGGUGAGGGACGAAAGCCUGGGUCGCAAACGGGAUUAGAUACCCCGGUAGUCCAGGCUGUAAACGAUGCCCGCUUGAUGUAUCGCUCCUUUCGAAGGGGCGAUGUGUCGUAGCGUAGGUGUUAAGCGGGCCACCUGGGGAGUACGGUCGCAA